GAAGGGCGGAGGGCCCGGCCUCCACAGCCAUGAGGUGGGGUGGUGGUGGCAGAGGGGCAGCAAGGUGAAGUGGGCGGAGGGGCUCUGUUACUCAAGGUUAGCCAGUCUGGAAGGGGAUGGCGCGUGUCUUGGGGCCAUUACAGCAUUCCUCACUGGCGGCUUGCCAAUUGGACGUGAACCUCACCGGUGUGUAAGGCCCCCCAAUAUGAGGACGAGGGCUUGAAGGGGAGGGUAGA
This is a long non-coding RNA of Myotis brandtii (Brandt's bat), 236 nucleotides long. RefSeq lists it as uncharacterized. The transcript is spliced from 2 exons. NCBI's taxonomy places the organism in Eukaryota, Metazoa, Chordata, Mammalia, Chiroptera, Vespertilionidae. The record is from RefSeq and is a predicted model, not a curated record.